RNAcentral lists this unclassified non-coding RNA (241 nucleotides) under Hevea brasiliensis (rubber tree). Lineage: Eukaryota; Viridiplantae; Streptophyta; Magnoliopsida; Malpighiales; Euphorbiaceae. The record is from RNAcentral.
AACCAAGAACAUACCCAAGAAGGCAGCACCAGCCAACCGCGAAGGCAAAGCAAGAGCUGGAAGGAUUAUGAGCAACGCGUCAGGUUGUAGCCCGUGGACAAUGCCAGUUGCAAAGGUUGCGAACCCCACUUUCUUCUUCUUCUUCCCGAUAACUGGAGUGUUAAUGUCUUCGUAGACACUAACAUCACUAUCACCAUUUUCCAGGGGAACAAACUGGGAAUUAACUUCAGAUGCUUCUUUA